UAGAGUUUGAUCCAUGGCUCAGAACAAACGCUGGCGGCGUGCUUAACACAUUCAAGUCGUACGAGAAAGUUUGCUUCGCCAAAUGAGUAAAGUGGCGCACGGGUGAGUAACGCGUGGAUAAUCUGCCCUUUAGCCGGGAAUAACUCAUCGAAAGGUGGGCUAAUACCCGAUAACACUGCUUUUACCACGGUGAAGCAGUCAAAGACAGCCUCUGUUUACAAGCCUUCACUAAAGGAUGAGUCCGCGUACCAUUAGCUUGUUGGUAGGGUAAUGGCCUACCAAGGCUACGAUGGUUAGCUGGUCUGGGGGGAUGAUCAGCCACACUGGAACUGAGACACGGUCCAGACUCCUACGGGAGGCAGCAGUGAGGAAUCUUGCGCAAUGGGGGAAACCCUGACGCAGCAACACCGCGUGAGUGAGGAAGGUCCUCGGAUCGUAAAGCUCUGUCAGGUGAGAAG
Molecule: ribosomal RNA, 458 nt
Filed under: uncultured bacterium
Lineage: Bacteria
Description: bacterial SSU rRNA
Rfam family: Bacterial small subunit ribosomal RNA
Source: RNAcentral